Non-coding RNA from Pelobates cultripes (western spadefoot toad), 230 nucleotides. The record is from the annotation of a GenBank genome assembly. Lineage: Eukaryota; Metazoa; Chordata; Amphibia; Anura; Pelobatidae.
AUCUCAGAUUGCCAUAUCUUUUCGCCUUUUAAGCCAGAAACCAUUUAAUUUCUGUUGAUAUCCUUUUGACUAUAAACCAAUUACAUUCAUCUACAUUGAAUAUUAAAGUUCACUUCAUUAAAUGACCAGCUCAUGAAAUACAUUUUUCUCUUCAGAGCUUGUCCAAACAAAGGUCUCUGUGAAAGCGUAUAUUUUCUAUCCUCAUGGAAAGUUUCAGAAGAAAAGAUUCC